CCUACGGGGGGCUGCAGUGGGGAAUAUUGGACAAUGGGGGGAACCCUGAUCCAGCCAUGCCGCGUGUGUGAAGAAGGCCCUCGGGUUGUAAAGCACUUUCAGUGAGGAAGAACGCCUGGUGGUUAAUACCCAUCAGGAAAGACAUCACUCACAGAAGAAGCACCGGCUAACUCCGUGCCAGCAGCCGCGGUAAUACGGAGGGUGCGAGCGUUAAUCGGAAUUACUGGGCGUAAAGCGCGCGUAGGUGGCUUGAUAAGCCGGUUGUGAAAGCCCGGGCUCAACCUGGGAACGGCAUCCGGAACUGUCAAGCUAGAGUGCAGGAGAGGAAGGUAGAAUUCCCGGUGUAGCGGUGAAAUGCGUAGAGAUCUGGAGGAAUACCAGUGGCGAAGGCGGCUUUCUGGACUGACACUGACACUGAGGUGCGAAAGCGUGGGUAGCAAACAGGAUUAGAUACCCCUGUAGUC
This 464-nucleotide ribosomal RNA is filed under the name Vreelandella stevensii. RNAcentral's name for it is "partial 16S ribosomal RNA". It matches the Rfam family "Bacterial small subunit ribosomal RNA", at positions 338 to 795 of the family's 1533-position model. Lineage: Bacteria; Pseudomonadati; Pseudomonadota; Gammaproteobacteria; Oceanospirillales; Halomonadaceae. The record is from RNAcentral.